UUCCGUAGGUGAACCUGCGGAAGGAUCAUUACUGUGAUUUAGUACUACACUGCGUGAGCGGAACGAAAACAACAACACCUAAAAUGUGGAAUAUAGCAUAUAGUCGACAAGAGAAAUCUACGAAAAACAAACAAAACUUUCAACAACGGAUCUCUUGGUUCUCGCAUCGAUGAAGAGCGCAGCGAAAUGCGAUACCUAGUGUGAAUUGCAGCCAUCGUGAAUCAUCGAGUUCUUGAACGCACAUUGCGCCCCUCGGCAUUCCGGGGGGCAUGCCUGUUUGAGCGUCGUUUCCAUCUUGCGCGUGCGCAGAGUUGGGGGAGCGGAGCGGACGACGUGUAAAGAGCGUCGGAGCUGCGACUCGCCUGAAAGGGAGCGAAGCUGGCCGAGCGAACUAGACUUUUUUUCAGGGACGCUUGGCGGCCGAGAGCGAGUGUUGCGAGACAACAAAAAGCUCGACCUCAAAUCAGGUAGGAAUACCCGCUGAACUUAAGCAUAUCAAUAAGCGGAGGAA
This 511-nucleotide ribosomal RNA is filed under the name Pichia kudriavzevii. RNAcentral describes it as "eukaryotic LSU rRNA". The stretch from base 135 to 287 matches the Rfam family "5.8S ribosomal RNA". The record is from RNAcentral. Lineage: Eukaryota; Fungi; Ascomycota; Pichiomycetes; Pichiales; Pichiaceae.